This 253-nucleotide ribosomal RNA is filed under the name uncultured bacterium. RNAcentral's name for it is "partial 16S ribosomal RNA". It matches the Rfam family "Bacterial small subunit ribosomal RNA", at positions 524 to 776 of the family's 1533-position model. The record is from RNAcentral.
UACAGAGGGUGCGAGCGUUGUCCGGAAUCACUGGGCGUAAAGGGCGCGUAGGUGGCGGCCCAAGUCCAUGGUGAAAGCUCGCCGCUCAACGGCGAGUCGGCCACGGAUACUGGGUUGCUCGAGCACUGUAGGGGCAGAUGGAAUUCCGGGUGUAGCGGUGGAAUGCGUAGAGAUCCGGAAGAACACCAGUGGCGAAGGCGGUCUGCUGGGCAGUAGCUGACACUGAUGCGCGACAGCGUGGGGAGCAAACAGG